UUUUAUUAUCUGCAGUAUUUACACUCAGUGGUGGUUCUGGCCCAUUUAAGGGGCCAGACUGGGGCCCGUUAAAUUAACUCUGAAACUAAGCGCUCAUGUUAGCAGUGGAGUGUGGUUCAGAGAUCAAGUCAGGCGGGUCAUCUGAGGAAUUGGUAUGUUGAUUUGGAGUACCAUUCCAUUGUUUUGUUGUAUAUAACAAACCACAUAACAUUCAAUUGGUAAACUUUUAAAAAAAGAUUUUUGUUCAGAAAAAGAAAUAAUGCACAUAUCAUAGAUACAUGACUUACACACCUUUCUUAUACAUUUUCUUUGCAUACAAAAAUACACAGUACUACAAACCUUAUACUACUAAUAUAUAAAUAUUGAACACUACAAACAUUUACAAAUCUAAAACUCAAAGUAUCAAUGCAUGUAUCAAAUACAUGACUUACACACCCUCAUCUAUGUGAUUGGUAUAUAAAAGAUUAAAGCCUGCAGUACUGUAGUUAAAGCUCAUUGCUCGUUAUACAGCACAGCUUUCAAACCAAACAAGGAUGAAGAAAUUCUCACAAGCAGCUAGUAGACCUUCACAAUCACACACACAGACAAGCAACAGGUGACUGGCCAAUCAAUAGAUGCAACAUUAGAGAAAUACCAAAUUAUUCACAGCCUCAAAGCGGGGGGAAAACAAACGAAAAAAAAAAAAAAAACACACCAGCAAAUGACCACACAUGUCAUUUUAAGUGUCCAGGCAAACAAGAUACAGAGCACAACAGGACUUCAACCAUUAACAGGAACACAGCCAGGAGUUAAAUACAGGCAGGCAGCCACGGCGGGACAUUUAACCAUCAGGAAAGAAACCAGCCAGCAGACAGACUGUAUCAGACUCACGUUUGUCGUCUCAAUCCAUCGUGAAGAUGCCAACUUUCACCUGGCGUCCCUUCGGUAGACUUCAGGAAGGGUGCAAUCUCCUUUUUGACCACACACCCUGGCUGCCAUUUACCAGCCGUUACAACCCAGAGGGGCGCUGUUUCACUCCCUUGAGGGAACCCAGUGAAAGAUGGAGAAGACGGCCUCAAAAAUGAUCAUUUGAACCCUGAUGAAGAUUUGCUAAGGUCGAAACCGCUCUUUUUUCAUUGUUUCAUGAACAAGCCAUCGAAAGUAUUUUUAUCAAAACUCCACAUUACUCCCGCGCCUCUACUCGGGAUGUCCUGUUUGUUCUUUUGUACAUUUUUGAAGAUUACCACUACCUGUGAUCUGUUUGUAUGUUUGUGUGAGUAACAAUAAAAAAGUGGUUUGUGCAACUUCAACCUUUCAUACAUGUCACUGGAUGUUGGUAUAACUAUAUUGCUUUUUAUAUGCAGAGAGAUACACAUCUAUUAGAGACAUGUCAUGUUUGAUUUAACAUUUUAUUCACAGACAAAUGGGUGAAAUAAAUAAGAGGGGGGGUGAUUCUUGUCAUAGUAACUAUUAUCACCUUCAUCACCAUAACAUUGGAACACACAACACAUUUACAUCAAUCACUUUCAGUUAAAUACAUAAGUUAGAAUCAAUAAUUGACAUAC
Siniperca chuatsi (mandarin fish) is the source of this 1544-nucleotide long non-coding RNA. RefSeq lists it as uncharacterized. NCBI's taxonomy places the organism in Eukaryota, Metazoa, Chordata, Actinopteri, Centrarchiformes, Sinipercidae. The record is from RefSeq and is a predicted model, not a curated record. The transcript has 2 exons.